GCCAAACAGGGAUGGUGCCCACACCGAGGCUAUCAAGGAGUGAAUGGGACGAGGGUGGAGAGAGGAUGGCGAGGUUUCCCCAAACUCUCAGCCUGACUGCCUGAGCACUCAGGAGCGAUCAUUGAGACUGCCUGCAAGUCUCCGUGUUGGCCUGAUUCAUCUGCACAGAGUGUUUUUCAUCUAGCCGACUUUGGGCAUACUAGCGAGGCUUGGAAACGAUGUCAAUGCCAACCUCUACUAAAACCGUAUCGGGUGAAAAUUAAUGGAGACAAGUAUGGAAUCAUUAUCAACACAGUCGUUACUCAGGGAGGGUUCCCUUCUGCAGCUGCAACAUGAACGCAAGGAACGGACACUAAUUGCAACAGGUCAUGCCGCAAGUUGGGAAACUGGUGAUCCUCCGAGAGGAUCAUGAAACAGAUUACGGAGUUUAGAAUGAUAUAAAGUUCAUUAACACCUGUAAUGAAUAUAAAACAACAAUACCAGGUGAGAUCGGUUUGAAUUUAACAGACAUAGGUACGUACAUACCGAACAUACAGUACGACAGGUAAGAUACAGCUCUGGUAAAUAUGAAAAUAUGAUACAGAACUAGAGAUACAGAUGGG
This 602-nucleotide small RNA is filed under the name Histoplasma capsulatum var. duboisii H88. RNAcentral's name for it is "Histoplasma capsulatum H88 hypothetical RNA". Lineage: Eukaryota; Fungi; Ascomycota; Eurotiomycetes; Onygenales; Ajellomycetaceae. The record is from RNAcentral.